This 420-nucleotide ribosomal RNA is filed under the name uncultured bacterium. RNAcentral describes it as "bacterial SSU rRNA". It matches the Rfam family "Bacterial small subunit ribosomal RNA", at positions 356 to 773 of the family's 1533-position model. The record is from RNAcentral.
AAGGAAUAUUGGUCAAUGCCCGGAAGGGUGAACCAGCCAUGCCGCGUGCAGGAUGACGGCCCUAUGGGUUGUAAACUGCUUUUGGAUAGGAAGAAAGUGGAGUAUUAAUACUUUUUUGACGGUACUAUCAGAAUAAGCACCGGCUAACUCCGUGCCAGCAGCCGCGGUAAUACGGAGGGUGCGAGCGUUAUCUGGAAUUACUGGGUUUAAAGGGUGCGUAGGCGGUUGUAUAAGUCAGGGGUGAAAGGAUUCAGCUUAACUGGAUAAUUGCCUUUGAUACUGUAUGACUAGAAUUGAGCUGAGGUUGGCGGAAUGUGACAUGUAGCGGUGAAAUGCAUAGAUAUGUCAUAGAACACCGAUUGCGAAGGCAGCUGACUGGGCUUAAAUUGACGCUGAGGCACGAAAGCGUGGGGAGCGAAC